RNAcentral lists this ribosomal RNA (569 nucleotides) under Purpureocillium lilacinum. RNAcentral's name for it is "partial large subunit ribosomal RNA". It matches the Rfam family "Eukaryotic large subunit ribosomal RNA", at positions 71 to 678 of the family's 3401-position model. The record is from RNAcentral. Lineage: Eukaryota; Fungi; Ascomycota; Sordariomycetes; Hypocreales; Ophiocordycipitaceae.
AACAUGUCAGUACGGCGAGUGAGCGGCACAGCUCAAUUUGAAAUCUGGCCCCCAGGGCCCGAGUUGUAAUUUGCAGAGGAUGCUUUUGGCGCGGUGCCUUCCGAGUUCCCUGGAACGGGACGCCAUAGAGGGUGAGAGCCCCGUCUGGUCGGACGCCUAGCCUGUGUAAAGCUCCUUCGACGAGUCGAGUAGUUUGGGAAUGCUGCUCUAAAUGGGAGGUAUAUGUCUUCUAAAGCUAAAUACCGGCCAGAGACCGAUAGCGCACAAGUAGAGUGAUCGAAAGAUGAAAAGCACUUUGAAAAGAGGGUUAAAUAGUACGUGAAAUUGUUGAAAGGGAAGCGCUUGUGACCAGACUUGGGCCCGGUGGAUCAUCCAGCGUUCUCGCUGGUGCACUCCGCCGGGUUCAGGCCAGCAUCAGUUCGCCGCGGGGGAAAAAGGCUUCGGGAACGUGGCUCCUACGGGAGUGUUAUAGCCCGUUGCAUAAUACCCUGGGGCGGACUGAGGUUCGCGCUCCGCAAGGAUGCUGGCGUAAUGGUCAUCAGCGACCCGUCUUGGACCCAAGAGACACA